RNAcentral lists this ribosomal RNA (253 nucleotides) under uncultured bacterium. Its description in RNAcentral is "partial 16S ribosomal RNA". It matches the Rfam family "Bacterial small subunit ribosomal RNA", at positions 524 to 776 of the family's 1533-position model. The record is from RNAcentral.
GACGAACCGUGCGAACGUUGUUCGGAAUCACUGGGCUUAAAGGGCGCGUAGGCGGGUUCUCAAGUCCGGGGUGAAAUCCCACGGCUCAACCGUGGAAGCGCCUUGGAUACUGGGGAUCUCGAGGGGGGUAGGGGCGCGCGGAACUUCCGGUGGAGCGGUGAAAUGCGUAGAUAUCGGAAGGAACACCGGUGGCGAAAGCGGCGCGCUGGACCCCUUCUGACGCUGAGGCGCGAAAGCCAGGGGAGCAAACGGG